CCUUUCUCUUUAGAGUUCCCUCGGAUUUAGCCCGUUGGACUGGUGAUGCCUGGGGGAUUCUCUUCAUAAUUAUUGGAAACCUCCAGGCAUUAAAGCUGGCUCUGUUCUAUGGACACCAUCCCCGGCCUCUUUUCUGAACCUUAGUAGUCACUGGAACACUAGCAGGAUAUGAGAGUGGGGACAAGACUGGGAGAGGUGGAAAGGAGAGAGAUAAGGCGUUCAAAGAGAUGGUGUUUUGCUUAUUUUUGUAAAACAUGGGAGAUAUUCGAGCAUGCUUUUAAGUAUUAGGGAGGGCAGUGGAUGCACAGCUGUAAGUACUGGAAAGGGGAUAACAGAUGAAGCAAGGUCUCAGUUUGGGGGAAGAUGGGAAGGGUUCGGAUCAAGAGCACAGGUGGACAGACCAACUCAGAACAGAAAAUGGAUCAUCUUCUCUCAGCUUUGAAGGUACAAGGUGAGGACACGUGCAAGCCCAGGUGAUUCCUUGAGUAUAGGAGUGGAAAGUGAAAGGAGUUUACAUCUGGAGCCUAGUUUUCCUCUGCUAAGUAGCAGGUGAGAUUUUAUCUGGGGACAGAGAGAGAGAGAGAGAGAGAGAGCAUGAGAGACUGAUUCUAAGGAAUUGACUCACAUAAUUGUGGAGGCUGGGGCAAGUCCAAAAACCUGCAGGGUAACCUGGCAGGCUGGAGACCCAUAGAAGGGUUAAUGUUGCGACUUGAGUCCAGAGGCAAUCUAAGGCAGAAUUCCCUUCUCCUUCUGGGGACUUCACUCUGUUUUCAAGUAAGCAUUUCUUCAACUGAUUAAAUGAGGCCCACCUGUAUUACAGAGGGUAAUUUGUUUUACUCAAAGUCUACUGAUUUAAAUAUUAACCUCAUCUUUAAAAAAAUAUUUUUACAGCAACAUUCAGACUGGUGUUUGACCAAAUAUCUGGGCACCAUCGCUUAGCCAAGUUGACACAUAAAAUUAGACCAUCA
RNAcentral lists this long non-coding RNA (968 nucleotides) under Homo sapiens (human). RNAcentral describes it as "HSALNT0129918". The record is from RNAcentral. Lineage: Eukaryota; Metazoa; Chordata; Mammalia; Primates; Hominidae.